UCUGUUGUAGUCUAGUUGGUUUGGAUACUUGGUUCUCACUUGAAAAACUCGGGUUCAAUUCUCGGCAAUGGAA
Molecule: transfer RNA, 73 nt
Organism: Ipomoea nil (Japanese morning glory)
Lineage: Eukaryota; Viridiplantae; Streptophyta; Magnoliopsida; Solanales; Convolvulaceae
Rfam family: tRNA
About the family: Transfer RNA (tRNA) molecules are approximately 80 nucleotides in length. Their secondary structure includes four short double-helical elements and three loops (D, anti-codon, and T loops).
Source: Rfam